CGUCCCCGUCGUCCAGUGGCCUAGGACACCGCCCUUUCACGGCGGUAACACGGGUUCGAAUCCCGUCGGGGACGCCAA
Molecule: transfer RNA, 78 nt
Filed under: Acidobacterium capsulatum ATCC 51196
Lineage: Bacteria; Pseudomonadati; Acidobacteriota; Terriglobia; Terriglobales; Acidobacteriaceae
Description: tRNA-Glu
Rfam family: tRNA
About the family: Transfer RNA (tRNA) molecules are approximately 80 nucleotides in length. Their secondary structure includes four short double-helical elements and three loops (D, anti-codon, and T loops). Further hydrogen bonds mediate the characteristic L-shaped molecular structure. tRNAs have two regions of fundamental functional importance: the anti-codon, which is responsible for specific mRNA codon recognition, and the 3' end, to which the tRNAs corresponding amino acid is attached (by aminoacyl-tRNA synthetases). tRNAs cope with the degeneracy of the genetic code in two manners: having more than one tRNA (with a specific anti-codon) for a particular amino acid; and 'wobble' base-pairing, i.e. permitting non-standard base-pairing at the 3rd anti-codon position.
Source: RNAcentral